Molecule: ribosomal RNA, 712 nt
Filed under: uncultured bacterium
Lineage: Bacteria
Description: bacterial SSU rRNA
Rfam family: Bacterial small subunit ribosomal RNA
Source: RNAcentral
AUUAGAUACCCUGGGUAGUCCACGCAGUAAACGAUGAUCACUAGCUGUUUGCGAUACAGUGUAAGCGGCACAGCGAAAGCGUUAAGUGAUCCACCUGGGGAGUACGCCGGCAACGGUGAAACUCAAAGGAAUUGACGGGGGCCCGCACAAGCGGAGGAACAUGUGGUUUAAUUCGAUGAUACGCGAGGAACCUUACCCGGGUUUGAACGCAUUCGGACCGAGGUGGAAACACCUUUUCUAGCAAUAGCCGUUUGCGAGGUGCUGCAUGGUUGUCGUCAGCUCGUGCCGUGAGGUGUCGGCUUAAGUGCCAUAACGAGCGCAACCCUUGCCACUAGUUACUAACAGGUAAAGCUGAGGACUCUGGUGGGACUGCCAGCGUAAGCUGCGAGGAAGGCGGGGAUGACGUCAAAUCAGCACGGCCCUUACAUCCGGGGCGACACACGUGUUACAAUGGCGUGGACAAAGGGAAGCCACCUGGCGACAGGGAGCGAAUCCCCAAACCACGUCUCAGUUCGGAUCGGAGUCUGCAACCCGACUCCGUGAAGCUGGAUUCGCUAGUAAUCGCGCAUCAGCCAUGGCGCGGUGAAUACGUUCCCGGGCCUUGUACACACCGCCCGUCAAGCCAUGGGAGCCGGGGGUACCUGAAGUCCGUAACCGAAAGGAUCGGCCUAGGGUAAAACUGGUGACUGGGGCUAAGUCGUAACAAGGUACC